UAGACCAAUCUACUGUGGUAAUAUUAAUAAUGCAAUAUACAUCGAAUAUUCUUGAAAUUGGCAAGCACAAAACAGUAAGUAAAUAACACUGGGAUUUAUGUAGUUCCUCUCCAAUGUGGAGAGUACAUCUACGGCAGCAGUGACAACUACGAGCACUUCUUGACUAUAACAAGGUAACCCGAGUCGAUCCAAAAAUAGUGUCUCUCAAGUGUUUCCCAACCCCGAAACAAUUACUCGCUAUUUUAUCGCUCACAAGAAAGUAUUCUUACCACGGUAAAACAUUU
Molecule: long non-coding RNA, 284 nt
Filed under: Linum usitatissimum (flax)
Lineage: Eukaryota; Viridiplantae; Streptophyta; Magnoliopsida; Malpighiales; Linaceae
Description: long non-coding RNA (LUSI_LNC006828)
Source: RNAcentral